RNAcentral lists this ribosomal RNA (497 nucleotides) under uncultured bacterium. RNAcentral's name for it is "partial 16S ribosomal RNA". It matches the Rfam family "Bacterial small subunit ribosomal RNA", at positions 28 to 507 of the family's 1533-position model. The record is from RNAcentral.
GAUGAACGCUGGCGGCGUGCCUAAUACAUGCAAGUCGAGCGAACGGACGAGAAGCUUGCUUCUCUGAUGUUAGCGGCGGACGGGUGAGUAACACGUGGAUAACCUACCUAUAAGACUGGGAUAACUUCGGGAAACCGGAGCUAAUACCGGAUAAUAUUUUGAACCGCAUGGUUCAAAAGUGAAAGACGGUCUUGCUGUCACUUAUAGAUGGAUCCGCGAUGCAUUAGCUAGUUGGUAAGGUAACGGCUUACCAAGGCAACGAUGCAUAGCCGACCUGAGAGGGUGAUCGGCCACACGGGAACUGAGACACGGUCCAGACUCCUACGGGAGGCAGCAGUAGGGAAUCUUCCGCAAUGGGCGAAAGCCUGACGGAGCAACGCCGCGUGAGUGAUGAAGGUCUUCGGAUCGUAAAACUCUGUUAUUAGGGAAGAACAUAUGUGUAAGUAACUGUGCACAUCUUGACGGUACCUAAUCAGAAAGCCACGGCUAACUACGUG